Molecule: ribosomal RNA, 1210 nt
Filed under: uncultured bacterium
Lineage: Bacteria
Description: bacterial SSU rRNA
Rfam family: Bacterial small subunit ribosomal RNA
Source: RNAcentral
AGUCUUCCCGCAUGGGAUGACUAUUAAAGAAUUUCGGUUGUCGAUGGGGAUGCGUUCCAUUAGGCAGUUGGCGGGGUAACGGCCCACCAAACCAACGAUGGAUAGGGGUUCUGAGAGGAAGGUCCCCCACAUUGGAACUGAGACACGGUCCAAACUCCUACGGGAGGCAGCAGUGAGGAAUAUUGGUCAAUGGACGAGAGUCUGAACCAGCCAAGUAGCGUGAAGGAUGACUGCCCUAUGGGUUGUAAACUUCUUUUAUACGGGAAUAAAGUGAGCCACGUGUGGCUUUUUGUAUGUACCGUAUGAAUAAGGAUCGGCUAACUCCGUGCCAGCAGCCGCGGUAAUACGGAGGAUCCGAGCGUUAUCCGGAUUUAUUGGGUUUAAAGGGAGCGUAGGCGGGUUGUUAAGUCAGUUGUGAAAGUUUGCGGCUCAACCGUAAAAUUGCAGUUGAUACUGGCGACCUUGAGUGCAACAGAGGUAGGCGGAAUUCGUGGUGUAGCGGUGAAAUGCUUAGAUAUCACGAAGAACUCCGAUUGCGAAGGCAGCUUACUGGAUUGUAACUGACGCUGAUGCUCGAAAGUGUGGGUAUCAAACAGGAUUAGAUACCCUGGUAGUCCACACAGUAAACGAUGAAUACUCGCUGUUGGCGAUAUACGGUCAGCGGCCAAGCGAAAGCAUUAAGUAUUCCACCUGGGGAGUACGCCGGCAACGGUGAAACUCAAAGGAAUUGACGGGGGCCCGCACAAGCGGAGGAACAUGUGGUUUAAUUCGAUGAUACGCGAGGAACCUUACCCGGGCUUAAAUUGCAACUGACUGAACCGGAAACGGUUCUUUCUUCGGACAGUUGUGAAGGUGCUGCAUGGUUGUCGUCAGCUCGUGCCGUGAGGUGUCGGCUUAAGUGCCAUAACGAGCGCAACCCUUAUCGAUAGUUACUAGCAGGUCAUGCUGAGGACUCUAUUGAGACUGCCGUCGUAAGAUGUGAGGAAGGUGGGGAUGACGUCAAAUCAGCACGGCCCUUACGUCCGGGGCUACACACGUGUUACAAUGGGGGGUACAGAAGGCAGCUACACGGCGACGUGGUGCUAAUCCCUAAAGCCUCUCUCAGUUCGGAUUGGAGUCUGCAACCCGACUCCAUGAAGCUGGAUUCGCUAGUAAUCGCGCAUCAGCCACGGCGCGGUGAAUACGUUCCCGGGCCUUGCACACACCGCCC